Molecule: RNase P RNA, 384 nt
Filed under: Verrucomicrobiota bacterium
Lineage: Bacteria; Pseudomonadati; Verrucomicrobiota
Description: Verrucomicrobia bacterium RNase P RNA component class A
Rfam family: Bacterial RNase P class A
About the family: Ribonuclease P (RNase P) is a ubiquitous endoribonuclease, found in archaea, bacteria and eukarya as well as chloroplasts and mitochondria. Its best characterised activity is the generation of mature 5'-ends of tRNAs by cleaving the 5'-leader elements of precursor-tRNAs.
Source: RNAcentral
UCCGAGAAGCGGUCAUUCGCUGUUCGAGCUUCUGCUCGGGUAGAGGAAAGUCCGGACAUCUCAGGGCAGGAUUCCCUGUGAAAGCGGGGGGGGCUUGCGUCAAGGCAAGUUCACGGCAAGUGCAACAGAAAACAUACCGCCUUCGUUUGAAGGUAAGGUUGAAAUGGUGGGGUAAGAGCCCACCGCCGCCAAGGCGACUUGACGGGCAGUGUAAACCCAAUCCGAUGCAAGGCGAAAUAGGAAACCAGGUUGCCCGCCUUAUGGUUUCGGGUACGUCGCAUCCUCCAUUGGAGGAAUCAAUGCUUGCAUUGAUAGAUAAAUGAAUGGCAUCCGAAUCGAAUUUCGUUCGGAUAACAGAAUCUGGCUUAUAGCUUCUCGGAAUUC